Molecule: ribosomal RNA, 501 nt
Filed under: uncultured archaeon
Lineage: Archaea
Description: bacterial SSU rRNA
Rfam family: Archaeal small subunit ribosomal RNA
Source: RNAcentral
UUACUGCUAUCGAGGUUCGACUAAGCCAUGCGAGUCGAAUGUAGCAAUACAUGGCGUACUGCUCAGUAACACGUGGACAACCUACCCUCCGGACGGGUAUAAACCCGGGAAACUGGGUAUAAUCCCCGAUAGAUCUCGGUCGCUGGAAUGCCCCGAGAUCGAAAGCUCCGGCGCCAGAGGAUGGGUCUGCGGCCUAUCAGGUAGUAGUGGGUGUAGCGUACCUACUAGCCUACGACGGGUACGGGUUGUGAGAGCAAGAGCCCGGAGAUGGAUUCUGAGACACGAAUCCAGGCCCUACGGGGUGCAGCAGGCGCGAAAACUUUACAAUGCCGGCAACGGCGAUAAGGGGACCUCGAGUGCCAGGUUACAAAUCUGGCUGUCGCGAUGCCUAAAAAGCAUUGCAUAGCAAGGGCCGGGCAAGACCGGUGCCAGCCGCCGCGGUAACACCGGCGGCUCGAGUGGUAACCGUUAUUAUUGGGUCUAAAGGGUCUGUAGCCGGCC